GAUGAACGCUGGCGGCGUGCCUAAUACAUGCAAGUCGAGCGAACGGACGAGAAGCUUGCUUCUCUGAUGUUAGCGGCGGACGGGUGAGUAACACGUGGAUAACCUACCUAUAAGACUGGGAUAACUUCGGGAAACCGGAUCUAAUACCGGAGAAUAUUUUGAACCGCAUGGUUCAAAAGUGAAAGACGGUCUUGCUGUCACUUAUAGAUGGAUCCGCGCUGCAUUAGCUAGUUGGUAAGGUAACGGCUUACCAAGGCAACGAGGCAUAGCCGACCUGAGAGGGUGAUCGGCCACCCUGGAACUGGGACAGCGUCCAGACUCCUACGGGAGGCAGCAGUAGGGAAUCUUCCGCAAUGGGCGAAAGCCUGACGGAGCAACGCCGCGUGAGUGAUGAAGGUCUUCGGAUCGUAAAACUCUGUUAUUAGGGAAGAACAUAUGUGUAAGUAACUGUGCACAUCUUGACGGUACCUAAUCAGAAAGCCACGGCUAACUACGUG
RNAcentral lists this ribosomal RNA (497 nucleotides) under uncultured bacterium. RNAcentral describes it as "partial 16S ribosomal RNA". It matches the Rfam family "Bacterial small subunit ribosomal RNA", at positions 28 to 507 of the family's 1533-position model. The record is from RNAcentral.